AGAGUUUGAUUAUGGCUCAGGAUAACGUUGGCGGCGUGCCUAAUACAUGCAAGUCGAACGAAGACUGUAAUGUCUUAGUGGCGAACGGGUGAGUAACGCGUGGGUGACCUGCCCCGAAGUGUGGGAUAACAGUUCGAAAGGACUGCUAAUACCGCAUAAUCCAAGAGAUUAGACGCUUUUGGAUUAAAGGAGUAAUUCGCUUCGGGAGGGGCCCGCGUCCCAUCAGCUAGUUGGUAAGGUAAUGGCUUACCAAGGCGAUGACGGGUAGGAGACCUGAGAGGGUGGCCCCCCACAAUGGAACUGAAACACGGUCCAUACACCUACGGGUGGCAGCAGUAGGGAAUAUUAGUAAUGGGCGAAAGCCUGAACUAGCAACGCCGCGUGUGCGAGGUUCGUUGAGCACUUUUUGAGAGGGGAAACUCUCAGAAUAAGUCUCGGCAACUACGUGCCAGCAGCCGCGGUAACACGUAGGAGGCAAACGUUAUCCGGAUUUACUGGGCGUAAAGCGCGUGUAGGUGGUUUGGUAAGUAGGGCGUGAAAGCUCCUGGCUCAACUGGGAGAGGACGUUCUAAACUACCAAGCUUGAGGAUGGUAGAGGGAGGUGGAAUUCCGGGUGUAGCGGUGGAAUGCGCAGAUAUCCGGAGGAACACCAGUGGCGAAGGCGGCCUCCUGGACCUUCCUGACACUCAGACGCGAAAGCUAGGGUAGCAAACGGGAUUAGAGACCCCGGUAGUCCUAGCCCUAAACGAUGUAGACUUGGCGUCGGUGGUUUAAAGCCAUCGGUGUCGGAGCUAACGCGUUAAGUCUACCGCCUGGGGACUACGGCCGCAAGGUUAAAACUCAAAGGAAUUGACGGGUCCCCGCACAAGCAGCGGAGCGUGUGGUUUAAUUCGAUGCUACACGAAGAACCUUACCUGGGUACAUAAGGUAAGGGAAGCGAAAGCAGACCGUUCGAGCCUUAAGGUGUUGCAUGGCUGUCGUCAGCUCGUGUCGUGAGAUGUUCGGUUAAGUCCGCUAACGAGCGCAACCCUCGCUGUGUGUUACAAGUGUCACACAGUACUGCCGAUAUUAAGUCGGAGGAAGGUGGGGAUGACGUCAAGUCAGCAUGACCUUUAUAUCCAGGGCUACACACACGCUACAAUGGUCAGUACAAUGGGUUGCCAAGCCGCGAGGCGGAGCCAUCCUAAAAAGCUGGCCUCAGUUCAGAUUGCAGUCUGCAACUCGACUGCAUGAAGUUGGAGUUGCUAGUAACCGCAGGUCAGCAAUACUGCGGUGAAUACGUUCCCGGGGAUUGUACACACCCCCGUC
This 1308-nucleotide ribosomal RNA is filed under the name uncultured Chloroflexota bacterium. RNAcentral describes it as "bacterial SSU rRNA". It matches the Rfam family "Bacterial small subunit ribosomal RNA". Lineage: Bacteria; Bacillati; Chloroflexota. The record is from RNAcentral.